Molecule: unclassified non-coding RNA, 262 nt
Filed under: Hevea brasiliensis (rubber tree)
Lineage: Eukaryota; Viridiplantae; Streptophyta; Magnoliopsida; Malpighiales; Euphorbiaceae
Source: RNAcentral
GAAAAGUUUUUUAAGAAAAUUUGAAAACAAAGUUUUGUACUCGCAUGUGUUGGUUUUCAGUUUUCCAAAUAGAGAAUUGGAAAACUAAUUUACAGUUUUGCAAAAUUUAAUUAAGAUUUGGAAAACAAUUUUACGUUGUUUUCAACUAUUUUUCUUUAUGAUAAAUGUCUUGUUUUCCAAAUGAAAAAUAAUGACUUUUCCAUAACCUAAAUUAUACUAUAAUUUUUUUUCUCAUAACUAAAAUUGAAUGAUUAUUUAGGAA